ACGGAUAAUAUCAUGAAGAAUAAGCAACACAGCUCACACGUGUCUAGCUGGUAUUAUAAAUAUCACAGGCAAUAUGCGCAGUGCGAAUAAUAAACUUGUACUCAAAAGAAUAGUAUAAAUUCUAUGCAACACAUGAAGAUCGGAUUUCUUCUACUUCAACUCUAUACGUAGAUGUAUACCUGCUGCUGUUUAAGCUACUGCAGUUGGGAUCCAGAACGCUGUGAUGUGGAUACCGAGUCCGUUCACGACGUCUGAAAGUAUGAGAUGCAGUACAUGAUACUAUACUGCACGAGAGACGAGACGUUUACUCUGCACAAAACCCACCAACGCAGCACGUGCUUUUCAACCGCCCAACUCAGCUUAUACAAGUGUGAUACAGGCCUUGCCUUAGGUCAAGUUGAUAAACAAAGAAACUGGAAGAAAAAAAUCUCUUUCCAUGUAAACGAUGAUAUAAGAAUAACGAUAAAAUUUACCUAGAGGGUUGCAUUGCUAAUCUUGCUCUGAUAUGUAUAAAUUUAGCUUUUAUGCUUCUUCCUUUACUUUUUCGUAUUCUGGAGCAUCCGGGCCAGCUGGUUUAGCAGAUAUUUUUAUUUGAACGUACCGCGCGCUGCAGAUAUCUGUCGAAUUAUUCUGACGUCAGGGCGACAUUCGAUCGGGUUUGUUAUGGAGACAGUAAAAGGAAUCUGUGUAUAUAAAAAUAUACGUCACAGCUGUUUCGACUAGAAAACGAGAAAAGACGUGAAGAUUUUGUAUUUAAAAAUACGAUGGUACGAAAUAAUGUCCGGCAUUUGGCAAGGAGCCGUUUUGGUACGGUUGCCAGGAAUAAAUACCCUGGAGUCUGCAGCAAAUUUUUGUUUUCACCUCACGAGGUCCAUCCU
Molecule: unclassified non-coding RNA, 878 nt
Filed under: Athalia rosae (coleseed sawfly)
Lineage: Eukaryota; Metazoa; Arthropoda; Insecta; Hymenoptera; Athaliidae
Description: misc RNA ENSAEAG00005008348.1
Source: RNAcentral